GAACACGGGCAUCGCACCGUGAGGGGGAGCCUCCCUCAGCGGUCACGGCAUCGUACUAUUGAGGGAGGCCUCCCCCAAUAGACGCUGUAACACUGGAAUACUGGCAUCGCGCCGCUAGGGAGGCCUCCCUCAGCGGACACGGGCAUCGCGCCGUGAGGAAGGCCCUCCUCAACGGACACGGCAUCGUACUGUUGAGGGAGGCCUCCCCCAACAGACGCAAGCAUCAAUCACAGGCAUAAACUUAUCAGCGUAAAGCAUUCAAGCGUAAAUAAGCGUAAUCAAGCGUAAA
This 289-nucleotide long non-coding RNA is filed under the name Salvia miltiorrhiza (redroot sage). Its description in RNAcentral is "long non-coding RNA (SMIL_LNC002497)". The record is from RNAcentral. Lineage: Eukaryota; Viridiplantae; Streptophyta; Magnoliopsida; Lamiales; Lamiaceae.